GGUGCAAAUGAUGGUAAUUGCGAUCAAAGUAUGAAAAAGCUAUGAUUCCAUCUUAAAGUACUGAUGCACU
This is a small nucleolar RNA of Oryzias javanicus (javanese ricefish), 70 nucleotides long. The record is from Ensembl. Lineage: Eukaryota; Metazoa; Chordata; Actinopteri; Beloniformes; Adrianichthyidae.